Molecule: long non-coding RNA, 892 nt
Filed under: Capsicum annuum
Lineage: Eukaryota; Viridiplantae; Streptophyta; Magnoliopsida; Solanales; Solanaceae
Description: long non-coding RNA (CANN_LNC019178)
Source: RNAcentral
UUGAAUUGAUGAUUAUUUAUGUCUAUGGCUCAAUUUGGUUUAAUGGAUUGGUUGGAAGGAUAAAUGAAUCCAAACUUGAUAUUGGAGGAUGUUGUAUGAAUAUGCAUGGCAUGUGAAUGUAAUUGGAGUAUAAGAGGGUUAAAGUGACACCUUUUAUGGUGUAAUUAAGGCUUACUACUUAACCACUAGUUUGGUGAAUUCAAAUAAUUGAAUUGUGACGUUUGGUCGCUAAUACUAGAUUGCUAUAUAUGUUCAUUGUAGAUAAGUAAUCCGAAAAGACGAGAAGUCCAUUUGGGACUAGUAUUGAAGGUUGACAGUCAGGUAUGUAAAGCAUACUCUAUACCAUAUCUUUGGCAUGAAAGUGAACAAUUGUUCUAUUAAGAAAGUUUCCAAAGUUAUUCAGUAACAUGUGAUCCAUAAUGGUUUUGUAUGAUGUCCUACGUUACCAAUGAACUUGUUUCCACCCUACAAGAUGUCAAGACAUUCCAAUACUUACUUGUUUUCCAAAUCUUACAUGUUUAUUGCACUAAUGAAUGUCAGAAGGUAUCCGGUUACUCGAACAAGAUCCAUGUGCUAUUAAUGACUCCAAAACGUUUCAUUGAUAUACCAAUAAGUUCCUACUUCAUUGUUAUGGCAUUGAUGACUCCAAAACACUUUAUUGAUGUGCCAAUGAGUUCUUACUUCAUUGUUAUUGCAUUGAUGGUCUAUUUAUAUGUCUCUUAUUGAUGUAUCAUUGUUUCAAAGUAUCCAAGAUGCGGUGGCGACCGAAAUAACAAUCUCAAAGAUUAAUUGAACUAAGUGAUGGAAGUUCUCUCUUAUCGGGUGGUAUCCUAGGGGCAUAAGCCUAUCAUGGGUCGAUCCCUAUUUAUGUGUUUAUGGGUGGUAUCCCAGG